Ribosomal RNA from Fukomys damarensis (Damara mole-rat), 123 nucleotides. The record is from Ensembl. NCBI's taxonomy places the organism in Eukaryota, Metazoa, Chordata, Mammalia, Rodentia, Bathyergidae.
GUCUACAGCCAUACUACCCUGAAUGUGCCAAUCUCAUCUGAUCUUGUGAAGCUAAGCAGGGUCAGGCCUGGUUAGUACUUGGAUGGGAGACAAAUGCAACAGGAGUUUGAGGUGCAGAUAACU